This 411-nucleotide ribosomal RNA is filed under the name Triticum aestivum (bread wheat). RNAcentral describes it as "partial small subunit ribosomal RNA". Lineage: Eukaryota; Viridiplantae; Streptophyta; Magnoliopsida; Poales; Poaceae. The record is from RNAcentral.
AGGAUCCCCCCAACCGUCAAGCGUGGGGGACCACCGCGUCCGAGUUCCCACCGCUUUUCUACUCCCCCAACACGCCAAUCAACGGACCGACCACGACCAGUCUCUCCCGUCUGGUUUCAGUUUAGGACUCCACCUGGGCGCCCCCUCACGAAAAUCCUGGACGAUUUCGCCUCGCACUUCCUCUCCAAAUCCCUCUCCUCCUCCGAUCCUGCUCCCCCCCGCAGCAGAUUCCCGGCGGCAGCGGCACCCCACCCCAGCCUCCCCCUAUACAUAGACGGCAUCCUCCUCUCCCCGGAGGCGCUAUAUUUUCCGUGAGCCCAUUCUGCCUCGUGCGUGCCUGCGUGUCCUCCGCCCGUGCCACCACCACCAUCCGUUGAACGGUUGUUGGGCCGCGCCUUCGGUGCCGAGGAG